This 71-nucleotide transfer RNA is filed under the name Calotomus japonicus (Japanese parrotfish). RNAcentral's name for it is "tRNA-Ala". It matches the Rfam family "tRNA". Rfam says of the family: Transfer RNA (tRNA) molecules are approximately 80 nucleotides in length. Their secondary structure includes four short double-helical elements and three loops (D, anti-codon, and T loops). The record is from RNAcentral. Lineage: Eukaryota; Metazoa; Chordata; Actinopteri; Labriformes; Labridae.
GAGGCUUUAGCUUAAUUCAAAAGCGUUUGUUUUGCAAAUAGAGUAUGUAGGUGGAAGUCCUGCAAGCCUUA